Molecule: small nuclear RNA, 23 nt
Filed under: Arabidopsis thaliana (thale cress)
Lineage: Eukaryota; Viridiplantae; Streptophyta; Magnoliopsida; Brassicales; Brassicaceae
Description: snRNA_02003
Source: RNAcentral
ACGGUAAUUUCUCAACUUCCGUU